RNAcentral lists this ribosomal RNA (640 nucleotides) under Vibrio sp. Its description in RNAcentral is "bacterial SSU rRNA". It matches the Rfam family "Bacterial small subunit ribosomal RNA", at positions 68 to 688 of the family's 1533-position model. The record is from RNAcentral. Lineage: Bacteria; Pseudomonadati; Pseudomonadota; Gammaproteobacteria; Vibrionales; Vibrionaceae.
GGAACGAGUUAUCUGAACCUUCGGGGAACGAUAACGGCGUCGAGCGGCGGACGGGUGAGUAAUGCCUAGGAAAUUGCCCUGAUGUGGGGGAUAACCAUUGGAAACGAUGGCUAAUACCGCAUAAUACCUUCGGGUCAAAGAGGGGGACCUUCGGGCCUCUCGCGUCAGGAUAUGCCUAGGUGGGAUUAGCUAGUUGGUGAGGUAAUGGCUCACCAAGGCGACGAUCCCUAGCUGGUCUGAGAGGAUGAUCAGCCACACUGGAACUGAGACACGGUCCAGACUCCUACGGGAGGCAGCAGUGGGGAAUAUUGCACAAUGGGCGCAAGCCUGAUGCAGCCAUGCCGCGUGUGUGAAGAAGGCCUUCGGGUUGUAAAGCACUUUCAGUCGUGAGGAAGGUGGUAGUGUUAAUAGCACUAUCAUUUGACGUUAGCGACAGAAGAAGCACCGGCUAACUCCGUGCCAGCAGCCGCGGUAAUACGGAGGGUGCGAGCGUUAAUCGGAAUUACUGGGCGUAAAGCGCAUGCAGGUGGUUUGUUAAGUCAGAUGUGAAAGCCCGGGGCUCAACCUCGGAAUAGCAUUUGAAACUGGCAGACUAGAGUACUGUAGAGGGGGGUAGAAUUUCAGGUGUAGCGGUGAAAUG